ACGGGUGAGUAAUACAUCGGAACGUGCCCUGUAGUGGGGGAUAACUAGUCGAAAGAUUAGCUAAUACCGCAUACGACCUGAGGGUGAAAGUGGGGGACCGCAAGGCCUCAUGCUAUAGGAGCGGCCGAUGUCUGAUUAGCUAGUUGGUGAGGUAAAGGCUCACCAAGGCGACGAUCAGUAGCUGGUCUGAGAGGACGAUCAGCCACACUGGGACUGAGACACGGCCCAGACUCCUACGGGAGGCAGCAGUGGGGAAUUUUGGACAAUGGGGGCAACCCUGAUCCAGCAAUGCCGCGUGUGUGAAGAAGGCCUUCGGGUUGUAAAGCACUUUUGUCCGGAAAGAAAUCGCACUUACUAAUAUUAGGUGUGGAUGACGGUACCGGAAGAAUAAGGACCGGCUAACUACGUGCCAGCAGCCGCGGUAAUACGUAGGGUCCAAGCGUUAAUCGGAAUUACUGGGCGUAAAGCGUGCGCAGGCGGUUGUGCAAGACCGAUGUGAAAUCCCCGGGCUUAACCUGGGAAUUGCAUUGGUGACUGCACGGCUAGAGUGUGUCAGAGGGGGGUAGAAUUCCAC
Molecule: ribosomal RNA, 574 nt
Filed under: uncultured bacterium
Lineage: Bacteria
Description: bacterial SSU rRNA
Rfam family: Bacterial small subunit ribosomal RNA
Source: RNAcentral